UAGCCUUGACAUUGAAGAAAUAGACCAGAGAUGGACUAGUGCCCUUCGGGGAAUCUGAAAACAGGUGCUGCACGGCUGUCGUCAGCUCGUGUCGUGAGAUGUUGGGUUAAGUCCCGCAACGAGCGCAACCCUCGUCCUUAGUUGCUAGCAGUUCGGCUGAGCACUCUAAGGAGACUGCCUUCGUAAGGAGGAGGAAGGUGAGGACGACGUCAAGUCAUCAUGGCCCUUAUGGCUAGGGCUACACACGUGCUACAAUGGGGCGUACAGAGUGUUGCGAUACCGCGAGGUGGAGCUAAUCACUUAAAGCGUCUCUCAGUUCGGAUUGGAGUCUGCAACUCGACUCCAUGAAGCUGGAAUCACUAGUAAUCGUAGAUCAGCAAUGCUACGGUGAAUACGUUCACCGGGUCU
This 408-nucleotide ribosomal RNA is filed under the name uncultured bacterium. Its description in RNAcentral is "bacterial SSU rRNA". It matches the Rfam family "Bacterial small subunit ribosomal RNA", at positions 976 to 1378 of the family's 1533-position model. The record is from RNAcentral.